ACACCAAGCCUUCAUUAACAAUUUUCAAACCUCACUUCUUCUCGCUCAAGAACGAAACUGAAACAAACAAAGGUGAAGAAAAAAAGGCUCAAAAAUCACUUCAAUCUUCGAAAUCAACAUCCAUCAUUCAAUUCAAUUCAUCUGGCGCACGCGGAAUCAAAAAGAAAUGAAAACGAAUUUGAAGCAAGAACUCAAUGAAUCAGAGUUUCGACAUGAACAGG
Molecule: long non-coding RNA, 221 nt
Filed under: Lathyrus oleraceus (garden pea)
Lineage: Eukaryota; Viridiplantae; Streptophyta; Magnoliopsida; Fabales; Fabaceae
Description: Pisum sativum (pea) long non-coding RNA (PSAT_LNC037918)
Source: RNAcentral